AAGCCAGCUGUACAGGGUUUGUACCUCCUACUACUGUCUAUAUUUCACACAGUUCCCAGCCAACCAAAUGCUUUCUAACUAACUGUUUUCAGGGCAGCCUCACGCUGUCCUGCCCACUCCAGCAUCAUGCAUUUCUUCCUUCCUCAGUGUUUCCUCCUCGCUCAUCAGAGCUACUAGGUCAGUGCUUCCACCACAGGCAGAUUAGUUGAAGAAUAUAAGACUUUCCCCAUGUUUCCCUGUUGGUUUCUUAUGGCCUUCCUGGCCCCAAUAGGCUGGGCUCUUCAGCAAACCCCAGACACACUUGUCCGACUGGGAGACUCUCUGACUCUGAACUGUUCUCACAAGGAGAGUGGAGCCUGGACUAUGUACUGGUACAAGCAGGCAGUGGGGAAGAACACCACUAUGCAGCUGAUUGUACGUUCAGUGGAAGGUACCAAGGCAGACUUUGAGGAAGAAUUCAAAAGCCGCUUCCAGAGUAGUGGGACUAAGGAGAACUCCUUAUCAGUGACGAUAGAUCGUGUCCUACUCAGUGACUCAGGCACUUAUUUCUGCGCUAAGCAAGAUACACUGUGACACGAAGGCUGGAGCAGCAUAGCACAAACCUCCCUCCACAGAAGUGGAGACCUGCCCCCAGAACACACAGUCCAUCGUGUACCAGUAAAACUAUUUUUCCACUUCUGACAUUCAGCUCUGUCCACUUAAUAAAAGUAGUAGUUUCCUUUCUGUCUUCUGCUUGUUCUCUGCUUUUCUUUUUUUUUUUUUUUCCUUUUCCGUCUCUGAAGAAUUGUUGAUCCUACUUUUGAUACAAAUUAUAAUGAUAUUGUUAAACCUGUUAGCAUUCACUGAAUAGUAGACCUGCAGUUUGUUUGGAUAAUGGGAAGAGUUGUGUCUUUGCACCGAGUAGAUAAGGAGAGUUCUGUUAAGUCUUUGUACUGUGGGAGACAGUGUCAAAGGUUUA
Molecule: non-coding RNA, 958 nt
Organism: Coturnix japonica (Japanese quail)
Lineage: Eukaryota; Metazoa; Chordata; Aves; Galliformes; Phasianidae
Source: the annotation of a RefSeq genome assembly